AUAUAUAUAGUUUAAAAAAAACAUUACAUUUUCACUGUAAAAAUAAAAAAAUUUUUUAUAUAUU
RNAcentral lists this transfer RNA (64 nucleotides) under Pseudergolis wedah. RNAcentral's name for it is "tRNA-Glu". The record is from RNAcentral. Lineage: Eukaryota; Metazoa; Arthropoda; Insecta; Lepidoptera; Nymphalidae.